RNAcentral lists this ribosomal RNA (372 nucleotides) under uncultured bacterium. RNAcentral describes it as "bacterial SSU rRNA". It matches the Rfam family "Bacterial small subunit ribosomal RNA", at positions 790 to 1167 of the family's 1533-position model. The record is from RNAcentral.
GUAGUCCAUGCCCUAAACGAUGUCAACUAGUUGUCGGGAGAGCAAUCUCUUGGUAACGCAGCUAACGCGUGAAGUUGACCGCCUGGGGAGUACGGUCGCAAGAUUAAAACUCAAAGGAAUUGACGGGGACCCGCACAAGCGGUGGAUUAUGUGGAUUAAUUCGAUGCAACGCGAAAAACCUUACCUACCCUUGACAUGUCAGGAAGGACCCAGAGAUGGGUUUGUGCCCGCAAGGGAACCUGAACACAGGUGCUGCAUGGCUGUCGUCAGCUCGUGUCGUGAGAUGUUGGGUUAAGUCCCGCAACGAGCGCAACCCUUGUCAUUAGUUGCUACGAAAGGGCACUCUAAUGAGACUGCCGGUGACAAACCGGA